CAGGGCAGUUACAGCUUGUGUGUGCUUGGGCUUUUGUGCUCCAGUCUCCUGAGGAUUUGAUCUGAUUGUAGUCCCUGUUCUUCCCAGCCUCAGAGAAUGCCAUGGAGCUGAGGUCGCUGGACAUGCACCCCAGAGCAUUCCAUAUUUUUGGGCCAGGGUAUUUCCAAAGAAAACUUCUUUGGAAAUGUUUGCCAUUACCAGGACAGUGAAGUGCUGGCUUCCUUUGUUUAUUCCACAGUGAUGUUUGGAAACCUUUGCUGCUUUAUUUCAUCCUCGGGUUCUUCCAUCAGACUGACCUGGAGUUCAGUUUCAGCACUGAAUUGUGCUUCACUGCAGUCCAGAAAUAUCCAGGAGGUUAUAGAAAAUUUUGACUUCGAGGUCUGUCUUGUCUCUUCCCGUCUACACAAUACCAGAUGACUCAUUUCUUGUAAGUCCUGGUUGUUUCUUACCUGCUCCUUGUGUUAUUAUAAUUUAUAAUAUCCUAUAAUGAAGGUCAUCAUCUUCCUUAAUAAUUAAAUAGGAAUUUACUCCAUCCCUGUGACCUGGAUAAAAAAGUGCAUUCUAAUGCACAUUGGCACUCAAAAUGACAUUUUGAAAGAAGAGUGGACAGUGUAUUAAAACCAAAGAGUGUUUGGCACCAUGCCACUCAUCCAUGCUGCUAGGGAGGGGCUUUGAAGGCACACUACAGACCGGAGAUAGAUCCCAAGAAGUACCCAUCACAUGGGUUCAGACCUCCAAGCUCCUACCUUCAUUACCCCCAGCUUCCUUAUGACUCUCUAGAGCAGCAAACAGACCACGUCCUCUUUUCUGAGCCUGAACUGAGCAGCUGAUACUGUGCCUAAAGGUUUAAGUGCAGUGUGCCUGCC
Long non-coding RNA from Passer domesticus (house sparrow), 866 nucleotides. RefSeq lists it as uncharacterized. The transcript has 4 exons. The record is from RefSeq and is a predicted model, not a curated record. NCBI's taxonomy places the organism in Eukaryota, Metazoa, Chordata, Aves, Passeriformes, Passeridae.